CCUACGGGUGGCAGCAGUGAGGAAUAUUGGUCAAUGGACGGAAGUCUGAACCAGCCAUGCCGCGUGCAGGAAGACGGCUCUAUGAGUUGUAAACUGCUUUUGUACAAGGGUAAACCUGAAUACGUGUAUUCAGCUGAAAGUACUGUACGAAUAAGGAUCGGCUAACUCCGUGCCAGCAGCCGAGGUAAUACGGAGGAUCCAAGCGUUAUCCGGAUUUCUUGGGUUUAAAGGGUGCGUAGGCGGAUUGAUCAGUUAGAGGUUAAAGUUCCGAGCUUAACUCGGGAACUGCCUCUAAUAACGUUGAGCUAGAGAGUAGAUGCGGUAGGCGGAAUGUAUGGGGUAGCGGUGAAAUGCUUAGAGAUCAUACAGAACACUGAUGGCGAAGGAAGCUUACCAAGCUAUAUCUGACGUUGAGGCACGAAAGCGUGGGGAGCAAACAGGAUUAGAUACCCCAGUAGUC
RNAcentral lists this ribosomal RNA (460 nucleotides) under uncultured bacterium. RNAcentral describes it as "partial 16S ribosomal RNA". It matches the Rfam family "Bacterial small subunit ribosomal RNA", at positions 338 to 795 of the family's 1533-position model. The record is from RNAcentral.